UACGUAGGUCUCAAGCGUUGUUCGGAUUCAUUGGGCGUAAAGGGUGUGUAGGUGGCGCGCUAAGUCGGGUGUGAAAUUUCGGAGCUUAACUCCGAAACUGCAUUCGAUACUGCCGUGCUUGAGGACUGGAGAGGAGACUGGAAUUUACGGUGUAGCGGUGAAAUGCGUAGAUAUCGUAAGGAAGACCAGUGGCGAAGGCGGGUCUCUGGACAGUUCCUGACGCUGAGGCACGAAGGCCAGGGGAGCAAACGGG
Molecule: ribosomal RNA, 253 nt
Filed under: uncultured bacterium
Lineage: Bacteria
Description: partial 16S ribosomal RNA
Rfam family: Bacterial small subunit ribosomal RNA
Source: RNAcentral